This 78-nucleotide microRNA precursor is filed under the name Schistosoma margrebowiei. Its description in RNAcentral is "mir-3492 microRNA precursor family". It matches the Rfam family "mir-3492 microRNA precursor family". Lineage: Eukaryota; Metazoa; Platyhelminthes; Trematoda; Strigeidida; Schistosomatidae. The record is from Rfam by way of RNAcentral.
AGCCUUCCCUAUCCGUGCUGAGAUUUCGCCACACACCAGACCACAGAAGCUGAUGAGACUUCCAAGAUAAGUGAAACG